RNAcentral lists this ribosomal RNA (486 nucleotides) under uncultured bacterium. RNAcentral's name for it is "bacterial SSU rRNA". It matches the Rfam family "Bacterial small subunit ribosomal RNA", at positions 36 to 507 of the family's 1533-position model. The record is from RNAcentral.
GGAGGAAGGUUUUGAGUCCGUCGGCGUCAGGAGUGAACGGACUGGCGGCGAUGCGUUAACACAGUAGCGAAGUCGAACGGGAAGGUUGGUGGUUUCCGUAGUGGGCGAACGGGUGGAGUAACGCGUAAGGAACCUAGCCCUUCGGGAGGGGAACGAACAAACUGGAAACGGUUAGCUAAUACCCCGUAGGCUGAGGAGCAAAAGGAGAAAUCGCCCAGGAGGGGCUCGCGUCUGAUUAGCUAGUUGGUGAGGUAAUAGCUUACCAAGGCGAUGAUCAGUAGCUGGUCCGAGAGGAUGAUCAGCCAUACUGGGACUGAGACACGGCCCAGACUCCUACGGGAGGCAGCAGUGGGGAAUUUUCCGCAAUGGGCGAAAGCCUGACGGAGCAAUGCCGCGUGGAGGUGGAAGGCCUACGGGCCGUCAACUUCUUUUCUCGGAGAAGAAACAAUGACGGUAUCUGAGGAAUAAGCAUCGGCUAACUCUGUG